This 1192-nucleotide long non-coding RNA is filed under the name Homo sapiens (human). RNAcentral's name for it is "HSALNT0085057". The record is from RNAcentral. Lineage: Eukaryota; Metazoa; Chordata; Mammalia; Primates; Hominidae.
CUUUACUACUGCUGCGGAAAAGAGGACAACACUCCACAUUUCUGGCAUUGUAAAUGACAACACCGCAACUGAAAGCAAGCUUGAAUUUCUGGGAGUAGCAUUAGGAUACAGGACCCCUGCUGAGCUCACCAGUUCCUUGCUCUACACAGCUGCUUUCUCAGCUGGGGUUUUGAAAUAAGCACUGUGAGAAAAGACAGAAAUGACCAUGAUGCAUCUUUCUCACUAUGAGAAAAAGGUACCAUGUGAAGGCCUGGGCAUAUAACAUGAAACAAGAAAGAUAAGGCCCGUGCUUACAUAGAACUUGGUGAAGAAUCUAGACCAUAACAAGCACACAGAGAAAACGUAUCACAAAUUGUGCUAAAGUUCUGUAAAGGGAUUAAGAUGAAGUGUCACAAGACUGAAUUAGACAGAGUGCCCUUGAAAGAGUGCCAAUUUUUAGAAUGGAGGGUGUAGAUCCAUCCUUUGCAACUGGUGAGGACCUCCUCAGUAAGGCACUGAGCCAGGAGUCUAUACAGCCAUGCCAGCAGGGAGCACUGUCUUUCAUUGUCUGAUGUUUAUUGCAAACCUGUUCUUUUCAGCUUUUUGUUGUUUCAGCCUAGUCCAAAGACGUUUACAUCCUGGAAGAGAACUUGCUGGCUUUUCACCUCAGCAUGUAUGGGCCAAACUAAUAUAACAAGAAGUCUUGAGAGGAGUCAGCGGCCAAGCUCCAUGUCUUGCAGCCAAACAAUGCUGUGGGAUGGAAGGUGGGAUGUCAUGUGUCUGGUUUACAGCACUCACGUAUCAGUUGGCAGUUAACGGAAGUGCUACUGAUUGGUGAUAUGCCUACUCCCCCUUCACCUUCGAUCAUGAUUGUAAACUUCGUGAGGACAUCACCAAAGGCUGACAUUGGCAACAUGCUUCCUGUACAAUCUGCAGAACAACGAUGGAACAAAAUAAACACCUUUUCUUUAUAAAUUACCCGGCUUCAUGUAUUCCUUCAUAACAAUGCAAAGCAGCCUAAUACAAAUUGUCAGUGAGUAGGCAGAUUUUCAGAAUGUAUGGCUAAUUGGAAUUUCCAUGGUCCUAUAUGAGAAGAGAUUUGAAGUAAUUCCAUAGAAUGUUAUGAGCGCCCUGGGAGAAGAAAAAGGGUGAUUUUUCAGAAGGAAAAGAGUGUAAGAAAAACAUGAAAUUCAAUUUUCCAAUGACAGUUCUG